GUCUAUGGUCAUGCUACCUUGUACAAGACCGAUCCCGUCUGAUCUCAGAAGCUAAGCAGGGUCAGGCCUGGAUAGUAAUUAGAUGGGAGACCACCCAGGAAGACCAGGUGCUGUAGGCA
RNAcentral lists this ribosomal RNA (119 nucleotides) under Pteropus alecto (black flying fox). Lineage: Eukaryota; Metazoa; Chordata; Mammalia; Chiroptera; Pteropodidae. The record is from RNAcentral.